RNAcentral lists this long non-coding RNA (241 nucleotides) under Elaeis guineensis (African oil palm). Its description in RNAcentral is "long non-coding RNA (EGUI_LNC033612)". Lineage: Eukaryota; Viridiplantae; Streptophyta; Magnoliopsida; Arecales; Arecaceae. The record is from RNAcentral.
UCGGGCAAUUAGAGUCUAAGAACCUUGAUCUCCCAUUAUGUUCUCAUCUCCAAACUCUUUAUCAAAAGAAGCCAUUCCUAAGGUAAAAAUCAAGGCAAAAACCCAAAAAGAGGAGAUAAGGAGGUUUAACCUUAGAAAAUAAUCGACGAUGGAGAAACCGACAAGAAAGGAGAAAACUGAUGAUGACAGAGAAAUCGAUAAGGAAGGAGAUGGCAGACGACGAUGAAGCCUAAACCACCCC